AUUUUGGGCAAUGGGCGAAAGCCUGACCCAGCAACGCCGCGUGAAGGAUGAAGUAUUUCGGUAUGUAAACUUCGAAAGAAUAGGAAGAAUAAAUGACGGUACUAUUUAUAAGGUCCGGCUAACUACGUGCCAGCAGCCGCGGUAAUACGUAGGGACCAAGCGUUGUUCGGAUUUACUGGGCGUAAAGGGCGCGUAGGCGGCCUGGCAAGUCACUUGUGAAAUCUCCGAGCUUAACUCGGAACGGUCAAGUGAAACUGCCAUGCUAGAGUGCAGAAGGGGCAAUCGGAAUUCUUGGUGUAGCGGUGAAAUGCGUAGAUAUCAAGAGGAACACCUGAGGUGAAGACGGGUUGCUGGGCUGACACUGACGCUGAGGCGCGAAAGCCAGGGGAGCAAACGGG
This 398-nucleotide ribosomal RNA is filed under the name uncultured bacterium. Its description in RNAcentral is "bacterial SSU rRNA". It matches the Rfam family "Bacterial small subunit ribosomal RNA", at positions 361 to 776 of the family's 1533-position model. The record is from RNAcentral.